Molecule: ribosomal RNA, 500 nt
Filed under: uncultured bacterium
Lineage: Bacteria
Description: bacterial SSU rRNA
Rfam family: Bacterial small subunit ribosomal RNA
Source: RNAcentral
CAACCCUGGUGGCGAGUGGCGGACGGGUGAGUAAUGCAUCGGAACGUGCCCUGAAGUGGGGGAUAACGCAGCGAAAGCUACGCUAAUACCGCAUAUUCUGUGAGCAGGAAAGCAGGGGAUCGCAAGACCUUGCGCUUUGGGAGCGGCCGAUGUCGGAUUAGCUAGUUGGUGGGGUAAAGGCCUACCAAGGCGACGAUCCGUAGCGGGUCUGAGAGGAUGAUCCGCCACACUGGGACUGAGACACGGCCCAGACUCCUACGGGAGGCAGCAGUGGGGAAUUUUGGACAAUGGGCGGAAGCCUGAUCCAGCCAUGCCGCGUGAGUGAAGAAGGCCUUCGGGUUGUAAAGCUCUUUCGGCGGGGAAGAAAUUGCUUGGGUUAAUACCCUGAGUAGAUGACGGUACCCGAAUAAGAAGCACCGGCUAACUACGUGCCAGCAGCCGCGGUAAUACGUAGGGUGCGAGCGUUAAUCGGAAUUACUGGGCGUAAAGCGUGCGCAGGC